Molecule: ribosomal RNA, 157 nt
Filed under: Crassisporus imbricatus
Lineage: Eukaryota; Fungi; Basidiomycota; Agaricomycetes; Polyporales; Polyporaceae
Description: 5.8S ribosomal RNA
Rfam family: 5.8S ribosomal RNA
About the family: 5.8S ribosomal RNA (5.8S rRNA) is a component of the large subunit of the eukaryotic ribosome. It is transcribed by RNA polymerase I as part of the 45S precursor that also contains 18S and 28S rRNA.
Source: RNAcentral
CAACUUUCAGCAACGGAUCUCUUGGCUCUCGCAUCGAUGAAGAACGCAGCGAAAUGCGAUAAGUAAUGUGAAUUGCAGAAUUCAGUGAAUCAUCGAAUCUUUGAACGCACCUUGCACUCCUUGGUAUUCUGAGGAGUAUGCCUGUUUGAGUGUCAUA